GUCUUUUAAUUGAAGGCUGGAAUAAAUGAGGGGACGACACUUUAGCUUUCUUUGGGUUUUAAUAGAAAUUGAUAUUUGCUUUAAAAAGCGCAACUUUUUAGGGGGACGAUAAGACCCUGUAAAACUUAAUUUAAUACUUUUUUAUUGAUUUGGGAUUAUUUUAGAGGGAAAAAGAAUUGAGCUGGGGCGGKUAUUAAUUAACUUUAAUAAAGUUAACACUUUUAAGUGAGGUGGCAGAUCUUAACAGAGAUAUAGAAUAAGUUACUUCAGGGAUAACAGCACAAUUUUUCCGAACAGAUCUCAUGGAAGGAGAAGACUUGUGACCUCGAYGKUGAAWWNAAAGGCWKCGUUCGAGUAUAAACGAGCGUGGGGAGUCUGUUCGACUCUUAAU
This 391-nucleotide ribosomal RNA is filed under the name Mirabilicoxa sp. RNAcentral describes it as "partial 16S ribosomal RNA". Lineage: Eukaryota; Metazoa; Arthropoda; Malacostraca; Isopoda; Desmosomatidae. The record is from RNAcentral.